This 789-nucleotide ribosomal RNA is filed under the name Pezicula cinnamomea. Its description in RNAcentral is "eukaryotic LSU rRNA". It matches the Rfam family "Eukaryotic large subunit ribosomal RNA", at positions 104 to 910 of the family's 3401-position model. Lineage: Eukaryota; Fungi; Ascomycota; Leotiomycetes; Helotiales; Dermateaceae. The record is from RNAcentral.
ACAGCUCAAAUUUGAAAUCUGGGUCUUUUAGGCUCCGAGUUGUAAUUUGUAGAAGAUGCUUUGGGUGCGGCCCCGGUCUAAGUUCCUUGGAACAGGACGUCAUAGAGGGUGAGAAUCCCGUAUGUGAUCGGUGGCUUGCGCCCGUGUAAAGCUCUUUCGACGAGUCGGGUUGUUUGGGAAUGCAGCUCUAAAUGGGUGGUAAAUUUCAUCUAAAGCUAAAUAUUGGCCAGAGACCGAUAGCGCACAAGUAGAGUGAUCGAAAGAUGAAAAGCACUUUGGAAAGAGAGUUAAACAGUACGUGAAAUUGUUGAAAGGGAAGCGCUUGCAACCAGACUUGCGCGGGGUUGAUCAUCCGGGGUUCUCCCCGGUGCACUCGGCCUCGCUCAGGCCAGCAUCGGUUUUGGUGGUUGGAUAAAGGCCUUGGGAAUGUGACUUCUUUCGGGGAGUGUUAUAGCCCUCGGUGCAAUGCAGCCUACCGGGACCGAGGACCGCGCUUCGGCUAGGAUGCUGGCGUAAUGGUUGUAAGCGACCCGUCUUGAAACACGGACCAAGGAGUCUAACAUCUAUGCGAGUGUUUGGGUGUCAAACCCAUACGCGUAAUGAAAGUGAACGGAGGUGAGAACCCUUAAGGGUGCAUCAUCGACCGAUCCUGAUGUCUUCGGAUGGAUUUGAGUAAGAGCAUAGCUGUUGGGACCCGAAAGAUGGUGAACUAUGCCUGAAUAGGGUGAAGCCAGAGGAAACUCUGGUGGAGGCUCGCAGCGGUUCUGACGUGCAAAUCGAUCGUCAAAU